This 73-nucleotide transfer RNA is filed under the name Stegodyphus mimosarum. It matches the Rfam family "tRNA". From Rfam's summary of the family: Transfer RNA (tRNA) molecules are approximately 80 nucleotides in length. Their secondary structure includes four short double-helical elements and three loops (D, anti-codon, and T loops). Further hydrogen bonds mediate the characteristic L-shaped molecular structure. tRNAs have two regions of fundamental functional importance: the anti-codon, which is responsible for specific mRNA codon recognition, and the 3' end, to which the tRNAs corresponding amino acid is attached (by aminoacyl-tRNA synthetases). tRNAs cope with the degeneracy of the genetic code in two manners: having more than one tRNA (with a specific anti-codon) for a particular amino acid; and 'wobble' base-pairing, i.e. permitting non-standard base-pairing at the 3rd anti-codon position. The record is from Rfam by way of RNAcentral. Lineage: Eukaryota; Metazoa; Arthropoda; Arachnida; Araneae; Eresidae.
GUCUCUGUGGUGUAGUGGUCAGCACGCUCGGCGCGUAUUCGAGAGGUCCGUGGUUCGAAUCCCGGCGAGGGCG